Long non-coding RNA from Homo sapiens (human), 14919 nucleotides. RefSeq annotates it as FER antisense RNA 2. The record is from RefSeq and is a predicted model, not a curated record. The transcript has 2 exons. Lineage: Eukaryota; Metazoa; Chordata; Mammalia; Primates; Hominidae.
AAGGUCCCUAGGUUACAGUAAGACACAGAAAACGCCUAUUAAAACAAAUUGAAAGCCACUUUCACAUUUAUGAUUUCCACACUUUGCAUUUUUACAUUUGCAAUGUAUUUAUAAUGAGGUUAAGAAUGCUUGUGAUUUACCAGUCCUCAUCUUUUCUGUCAUAGGUAAAAAACAUCCAUGAGAACAUAUGCAUAUGGAGUAGGCCACAUGCUAGUUUUCUAGGUACCACAUAUAUUUCCAUUUAAAUAGAAAAACACCGAUUCUAGCUUUAAAAGAGAAAAUUACAGAGAAGAGGCUAAGCAAAGUUGGCAUUAUUUCUCCUUUGGCUUUCCUAGAGCAGCAUUGUCCAAUAAAGUAGCCAUCUGCCACAUGUGCUGCUGGACACCUGCAAUGUGGCUAGUGUGACCAAGAAACUGAAUUUUUCAUUUUAUAUACUUUUAGUUACAUUAAAUAGCUGCAUGUGCCUAGUAGAUACUGAGUAGACUCUGAUAAGACAAUUCUUAGGGCUUCCCAAAGGUUGGAAAGUGGCUGAGGUACCAGAGAGUUUGGCAACUCUUUUUCUGCUGCAUCUGGCCCUGUCUCUCUCUAGCCCACCUCAUCUUGUCCAGUCUCCCUAUCAUUAAUAUAUCCCAUCCAUACUGGGCUUCUUUUUGUCCCCAAAUGCAGGACGAGUUCCCUAAAUGAGGCAAGCUUGUUUGCACUGUAUACCCUUUGCACUUAGCUGUUCCGCUUUGCCUCCAGUGUUCUUCCAGUUUUGCAUAGCUGGCUCCUCUUCAUUCAUUCUUAGCCCAAACGCUCUCUCUUCAGAGAGUUCUUUCCUGACCACUCUAAUCUUCCAAAGUAUUUCUGGUGGGGAGGACAUUCAAUAACCAAAUUCAUAUACAGCCAUCCCUUGGGAUCCAUGAUUGGUUCCAGGACCCCCCCUCAGAUACCAAAAUCCAAAGAUGCUCAAAUCCCUGAUAUAAAAUGGUGUAGAUUUGCAUAUGCACAUGAUCCUAUAUACUUUAAAUCAUCUCUAGAUUACUUAUAAUACAUAAUACAUUGUAAAUGCUAUGUAAUAGUUGUUAUAUUUAGGGAAUGAUGACAAGGAAGUUUGUAUGUUUAGUACAGACACAACUAUCCAUUUUAAAAAAAAAAUCUCUGGAUGGUUGAAUCCACAGAUGUGGAACUUACAGAUACAGUCAUAUACAAAAAUAACAAAUAACCAAGUGGAGCUUGUCCUAGUAACACAAGGUUGGUUUAACAUUUUAAAAGUAAUCGAUGUUAUUCACUAGAGUAACAGAACAUAGGAGGGAAAAACUUGAUCAUUCCAACUGAUGCAGAAAAAGCAUUGGACAAAUAUUCAAACCCAUUGGUAAAACAAUCUAGAAAUAUUAAGGAAUUUAUUUAACCUGACAAAGGGCAUACACAAAAACUUAAAUCCCUAACAUUACACACUUAAAUGGUGAAAGGCUAAAUUUUUUUCUAUUGAGGUCAAAGCAAGGAUACCUGUUUUCACCACUUCUAGUCAAAGGGUUCUCUUGGAAACAAUUUUACUACUUUUCUGAUAUCUGCCUCUCAAUUUUGUGUUUUCUCUUAUGUCUUUUUCAAUUUGAAAAUCUGAUGUUUUUUACACAGAAUAUCUUUGGGAAUGUUUAUAACAAGAACUAGAAUUAAUGAUUUACAAGGCUGCAAAAAUACACAAAGUAUUCUUGUAAGCAGCAAACAACUGGAAAAUAAAUUCCAUUUACAGUAGUUCCAAUAAGGCAAAUAUCUAAAAAUAAAUCUAACAAAAGACAAGUCCUUUAUACUACAAAACUUGACUGAAAAAAAUCAUGUGAAUAUUAAUUAAAAAAUAUGUGAAUAUUAAUAUGGCAAUUCUGCCCAAAUUAAUGUAUAGAUUUAAUGCACUCACAACCAAAAUUUCUGGCUGAUGUGUUGUAGAACUAGAUAAAUGGAGUCUAAAAUGUAUAUGGAAAUGAGGGGCUCUAAAAUAAAGUAAUUUUAAGAAAGGUGUACAAAGUUGUAGGACUUACCUAACCUGAUUUCAGAUCCCACUAGAAAGCUACAGUUCUCAAUACAGUUUAGCAUUGGUAGAAAUGUUUGUAGCUCAAUUGAAUAGAACAGAGAGGAUCUAGAAACAGACCCACAUAUGUAUAGUCAACUAAUUUUUUUGGCAGAGGUACAAUGGCAAUAUAGUAUGCACCUCCCAACUCUAGUCAGUGGGCCAAAUGCCAUCAUCCUUGGUCGGAAUGAGUUUUCAGUCACUGCAACACUUUAGUCGUGUAUAGGAUUUCACUGUUAGUACUUUCUUCAGAGUAAUAUCUAUGUUUUAUAGCUACAUACACUUCUGUUGUCAUAACUAUCUUCAUUGCAUCACCAGUUUAGAGAUUUGUCCUCUGAAAUGAGAAUCACGGUUCUAUGAGAGGCCAAUCUAAAACUAAUUUAGAGAUACCUCAAUUCAGUGUAAAUAAAAUUUCAAUAACAUUUACAGAAAAUGCUACUUCCUUUGGGCUGCAUUAAGUUCAAGUGAGUGGAAAUGGGAUCUUUUUGAGAUAAUCUAUGCAUUAAAUAAAACCUUAGGCCUUUAGGCCAUAAGCAGGCACUGCAUACUCAGUUUGCAAAUAUUCUAAUAAGUAUUAAAGGAGACAGAAAAAAGGAUAUGGUGUCUGGGCUAAGAAGCCAACAAUCUAAUUUGGGAGAUAAGGCAAUCAUACACUUUUCCUCCUUUUCUCUCUAUUCUCUUCUUUAUUAAGCCUACUAUUGCCCAGUUCUGAGUCACACUUUGGGAGACACACUAGUACUCCCAGCCUCUUCACACAUAAAAGUGCUAGAGAACAAUCAGUGUGAACCUGUGUGUUAUAGACUGCAAAUCCUACAUGAAUUCAGAGGUGAGAAAUCUCAUAAUAGGCUGGUGUUGUCAUUCACCUGAGGUAUCAGAGACAGCUAUAUCUCACCACAUGCAGAGGGAUAUAACAGCAAAUGCUGCUCACUGCCAAAAGGAGAUGGAAAUGUUCCAUUUAUGUCUGCCGAGUAAUCUUAUUUGAAGAUUCAAACUUCUGAGUGUGUAACAGAGGUGUCUUACAAGUCAUACAUAAUAUGAGACAGGUUAAUUAAGGAUUAAAUAAGAACAGAGAGCAGUUACAGGAAUGCCAAGGCCAGCAGGCAAUGGAGAUGAGUAAAUUUUCUUCACUGUCUAGAAAGCACAAUGGUGCACGUCUUGUUCUGUGGCUAUGUUCACUCUUACAGCAAAUCGUACAGUAAGCCAGGAAUCACCAUGAGGCUGAGCCAGAGUUCUCCUUUGCAAUGCUGUUAUGUAAAAAAAGUUAGAGAAAUUUUUGCUUUUUUUUUUUUGGCAUAAAAACUAUUCCCACUGGGUCUGGAUAAUAUUGAGCCACAAAUAACUACUAGCACUUAUGAGGAGAAAACCUCUUUAAGGCCCUGGAGUUUCCUGAUUCUGGCUGAAACAUGGCAUAAAACCAACAACCCAGGGAGUGAGGAUUAAAUGAAGCAUAUUUCAUUUGCUCUACUAUAUUCUGAUAAAAAGGGGAUAAUUAUUAUAAAAAUGUAUUUAUAUAGUUAGCUGCAAGCAUAUUUGGGGGACAUUACAGUAGUUAAAAGCACCAACUUUUAAAAAUACAUGAAUUACGUUAUUUUCUAAUAAUUUUUAUAUCACUUAUACACUGAUACAUGUUCUUUAAAAAUUUAAACACAAAAGAAUGUGACCAAACGUUUCCCAUCAGACUUUGCCAGUUUCAUUUGACUCAUUGUUAUACAUUUAGAUACAUACAUUAUUAUAAAAACUUGUACUACAUGUAUAUAUUUGUUUACAAACCUGACUUUAAUUGUACAUUUCUUGUUCUGACAUUUAUUCUAAUAUCAUUUGAUGUCCUUCAGAAAAUGUUAAUAAUUUCCUCCACACAGGCCAAGUGUACUCCUUGGCAGAUUUAUUUACUUUUUUUGUUGACAACUGCGAGUAUACGGUUCCAUUACUUCUUUCCCCUAUUAUUCUUAGUUGACAUAUAAUAAUCGUACAUAUUUAUGGGACAGUGAUAUUUUGAUAUGUGUAUACAAUAUGUAAUGAUCAAAUCAGGGUAAUGAGCAUAUCUAUCAUCUCAAACAUUUAUCAUUUGUGUCAUGAACACUGAAAUCUUCCCUUCUGCCUUCUUGAGAAUAUAGAAUAAAUUAACCUUAUUCAUUCUACACUGCUACAGAACACCAGAACUCUUUCUAUAUAGCUAUAUUUUUGGUAUCUACAAACCCAAUCUCUUUCCAUCCUCCCCACCUCUCUACCCUUCCCAGUCUCCUGUACCUUUCAAUUCUGCUCUCUUCCUUCAUGAGCUCGAUUUUUUUAGCUCCCAUAUGAGUGAGAACACGCAGUAUUUAUCUUUCUCUGCCUUACUUAUUUUGCUUAACAUAAUGUACUCCAGGCUCAUCCAUGUUGCUGCAAAUGACGGGAUUUCAUUCUUUUUAAACAGGUAAAUAGUAUUCUAUCAUGUAUGUAUACACACCACAUUUUCUUUGUUGAUGGACAUUUAGGUUGAUUCCUUAUCUUAGCUAUUGUGAAUAGUGCUUUAAUAAACAUAGGUAUCCCUUUGAUAUACUGGGUUUCUUUCCUUUGGACAAAUAUGCUGGAUCAUAUGUUCUACUCUUAGUUUUUUUUCUUAAGAAACUUCCCCACUGUUUUCCAUAAUAUAUAUAUUAAUUUACAUUCUCACCAACAGUGUAUAAGAGCUUCCUUUUCUCUGCAUCCUUGCCAGCAUUUGUUAUUUGUUUGUUUGUUUGUUUGUUUUUUGGAGAUGGAAUCUUGCUCUGUCGCCUGGGCUGGAGUGCAGUGGCACGAUCUCGGCUCACUGCAACCUCCAUCUCCCACGUUCAUGCGAUUCUCCCACCUCGGCCUCCCAAAGUGUUGGAAUUGCAGGUGUGAGCCACCGCACCUGGCGUUGUCUUUUGAUGACAGCCAUUCUAACUGGGGUGAAAUGGUAUCCCACUGUGGUUUUGAUUUGCAUUUCCAUAAUGAUUAGUGUUGAGCUGUUUGAGUUUCUUGGAUAUUCUGGAUUUUAGUCCCUUGUCAGAUGAAUAGUUUGCAAAUAUUUUCUUCCAUUCUACAGGUUGUCUCUUCACUAUGCUGAUUGUUUCCUUUGCUGUGCAGAAGCUUUUAAAUUUAAUAUAGUCCCAUUUGUCUAUUUUUGUUUUAGUUGCCUGAGCUUUUGAAGUCUUAGCCAUAAAACCUUUGCCUAGACCAAUGUCCUGAAGCAUUUCUCCUAUGUUUUCUGAAGUAGUUUUAUAGUUUCAGAUCUUAUUUUAAGUCUUCAAUCCUUUUUUAUAUAUGGUAAAAGCAUCAACUUUUAAGUAUUACAUCAUUUAUUAGCUCUUGGAGGUUUGGAAAUUUACUUACUCUUAGCUUUAGUUUUCUCAUUUGUGAAAUGGGGAUAAUAAUUGUACCUACAACAUGAGGUUUUUGUGAGAAUUAAAUGAAAUAUAUAAACCACUUAAACAGAAAGUAGUCAGUGUCAAUAAAUGUUAGUCACACACACAUACAAAACUGUACGUUCAUCAUAGGAAGACUUGAAUUUAGCCUCAGAAACAAUGCAUCGGGGAAUCUGCCUCUUUUCCCUUUCUAAUUAGAUUCAACUAAAUUUGACAAUUUUCUCUUCACAUGAAUAUAAAAGACACUCAGUUUAGUUCUCCUAAAACCAACUUAAAUAGUAUUUACUAUAUGCUGGGUACUAUUUGAAGCACUUUUUAUACGUUAAGUCACUCAGAAAUUACUGUACUUAUGAUCUCCAUUCCUAUAGAUGAUAAAACUGAAGCCCAGGAAGCUAAUCAACUUGCCCAAGGUCACAAAGCCCGUAAGCGGAGGAAAGCAGAAAUUGAAUCCCAGCAGCGCAGCUCCAGAGUCUGUAAUUUUAGCCACCUACUAUGCUUCUCAAUUUAGCUAAUAAUUCUCUUUCAGAAUGUAAUCAAAUGACACACACCUUAACCCAUGGCCAAUGGCUAUAACUUUUGAACUUUAAAUAAGAGCCAAAAUGGAUGACCUUUAGGAAAGGAAGUGACACUUCAGACUCCCUCCCUGCCCCCUAAAAAACAACAAAACAACCUACAUAAUACACAUAUAAAAAUCUGUUUUCUAAUGAAGCAGCCAAAUGUCACCAACGGCUUUGAAACAAUAUGAGUGUCCUGAUGAAGGACAGUAGGAUUGCCUGUUUCUGGCAAAAUUUUGCACACAGUAACAGAAGUGGAACCAUAAACUGUCUCUUAGAGCACACCAAGAAACUGAGGUUGGGCAAGGUGGGGUGUCUUUGGCAAUAGAGGUGGUAUGUUGAGCCCUUUUUUAAAAAACAAAAACAAAAACAAGGCAAUACCAUAGCCACUAUUUAGCUGAAAGUGAUGGGAUCAGAGAUUGACCAAAAAAUAAAUGGCUAGCCAGCUUCUUCUGCAUGUCAGAUGUUGCUUAUUUCCAUUUCAGAAUCUACCUUAUUUCCUUUGAACAGAAUACAUAAAUAUGGAAUCUCCCUACAUUUCUCAUUUCAGUGCACUGCUGAUCUCACUGUGUUUUCCACUCAUCAUACUGUUCCUCACCUCUUCUCUUCCCUUUGCGACCUCCUUUACCGCACUUCAUACCUCUCUCUGGCAAGUUCUGUGCCCAUUACUAACAGGGCACUUAUUUCUAAAAGUGGCCCCAAAGGAAGCCUGCAGCUGUAAAUUAGUACCAUUAUGGAAGCGUGUCUGUUCUCUCUCUUUGAAGAACUGUUCCAGUGCCACAGACUUCUGGGAGGAUGAAAACAGAAGUCCCGCCUCUUUGAAUGCAGCUAUCAACUGAUGUAGAGUGAGAGCAUAAUUUGUGCUUUUUUGUUCAGGGUUGGUUCAAUGCCCUACAGAUAUUUAUUGUGAGAGCAAAUGACUGCUUAUUCUUGAAGGAUCUCUCCUGCUACCUGUCAGGACGCUCAGAAUACAGUCUUCCCAUUUACUUAAAGCCACUGUUAAAAUGCAUGUAUGUUACUUGUGGGGGGGGGGGAGGUACAUAUUAUACCACUUACUCAUAUUUUAGCAGAAAUUAUUUGAAUAGAUAAUUGAAUAGACAUCACAGUCUUAAGGGAUUAGGAGGACAGGGCUGAUAUGUUCUGACAGUGGGAAAAAAUAAGAGAAAACUGGUUGAGCAGGCCUGGGUGAGGCAUGAAGUAGGCUUUUAAGGAAUAGUCAAUUUGGGCACUGGGAGAAUUCUGAAGGUUAUGACAGAGCACUGGGUGGGGACAACAAUGCAGACAUAACUUAUAAAAAAAUUUGUAUAGGGCUAAGCCCUGCUGUAUUUAUUCUCUAUCGGGUUAUUUCGUCUCAAUAGCAGAGGAAGAUCCUACUGGUGGCUUGGAUGCCUCAACCAUUGAGUCCAUUUACUAUAUUGGAGUAAGAUUCCUCUCUCUGGAGAAACAGAGGCCUGUGGUGAUUCCCUUCAAUGAGGUUGCUGCCUAAUGGCUGGAACACAAAACAACCAAGUUGUUGCCUGACACAGCUGACUGAAUGGGAAUCACUUAUGGAAAAUACUGCAAGUCAUCUGGCUUCCCUUAAAAUGGCCAUGCUCAGCACAGAGAAGUGCUUGCUGCUUUUGGAUCUUUUAUCUCAUUUCCUUGGGUGAGUUCCCUGUAAGAGAAUUCUGGUUGGACAUUUACAAGUGCAGAUUCCACAUAUUCUUUUCUUUAGCUUAGAAAUCAUAUUCCUAGAUAAAGAAAGAGAACUCAUACUAAAUAUGAAUGUUGAGAUAACUCGGAACCAAACAUAUAGUGAUAAAGCUUGUCUUAAAUUUACCUGAAAAACCCAAGUGGACCUUUCUUUGCAUUUAAUUACUGUGAUUAAUCUGGAUGGUUUAUAGUUUAUGAAAUGGGUACUAAAUUUGUAUAGUCAGAUAUAAAUUUCUCUCAGUCAAUAUUUCUGCUCCCUAUCACCUGUGGGCCACAUUGUGAAAUGAAAUACCAAAUCUCCAGGCACAAAUUUUAAAUAAAUAUUGAUCUAUUGUUAAACCUCUUAAUAAAGAUUCUGGUCUAAAGGAACUUGGUGGGGGUACAGAUUAAAAACAUUUAAGUAAAUGUUUUAAUCUCUUCAGUUCACAGAAACAUAUAAAAAAUUUUUUUCUUUUUAUUUUAUUAUUAUACUUUAAGUUUUAGGGUACAUGUGCACAAUGUGCAGGUUAGUUACAUAUGUAUACAUGUGCCAUGCUGGUGUGCUGCACCCAGUAACUCGUCAUUUAGCAUUAGGUAUAUCUCCUAAUGCUAUCCCUCCCCCCUCCCCCCACCCCACAACAGUCCCCAGAGUGUGAUGUUCCCCUUCCUGUGUCCAUGUGUUCUCAUUGUUCAAUUCCCACCUAUGAGUGAGAACAUGCAGUGUUUGGUCUUUUGUCCUUGCGAUAGUUUACUGACAAUGAUGAUUUCCAGUUUCAUCCAUGUCCCUAAAAAGGACAUGAACUCAUCGAUUUUUAUGGCUGCAUAGUAUUCCAUGGUGUAUAUGUGCCACAUUUUCUUAAUCCAGUCUAUCAUUGUUGGACAUUUGGGUUGGUUCCAAGUCUUUGCUAUUGUGAAUAGUGCCGCAAUAAGCAUACGUGUGCAUGUGUCUUUAUAGCAGCAUGAUUUAUAGUCCUUUGGGUAUAUACCCAGUAAUGGGAUGGCUGGGUCAAAUGGUAUUUCUAGUUCUAGAUCCCUGAGGAAUUGCCACACUGACUUCCACAAUGGUUGAACUAGUUUACCUUCCCACCAACAGUGUAAAAGUGUUCCUAUUUCUCCACAUCCUCUCCAGCACCUGUUGUUUCCUGACUUUUUAAUGAUUGCCAUUCUAACUGGUGUGAGAUGGUAUCUCACUGUGGUUUUGAUUUGCAUUUCUCUGAUGGCCAGUGAUGAUGAACAUAUCAAAUUUUACUGGGUAAUUUAAUAACAAAACUGAGCUCUGUCUUAAGCAAACAAAUUAAAGGCCACUAGCUGUCUGAGGCUACAAUAAAAUGCACUACAAGGACCUGGCUCAGAAGUUAGUCUCAGUAUUGAUGGCAAUAGCGUCUACUCCUAAAAGACUUCUGGAAGAGAGAUUUAAAAAACAUACACCCGCUCCCAUUCUGAGACUAUGAAGUGAAAACAGAAGUACUUGCCUGAGUGACAAAUAACAUAACUUAAAAUGUUAUACUUGGAUGCAAUAAGUUACCUGAGCAACAGACAGAAAAAAGUGACAAAACCACUUCUUACUGAAUAGCCGUCAUGAUAAUGGCUGUCAUUUAUUGAGUCCUUUAUAUGUGCCAGAUACCAUUUUAAAUGUCUUUCAUAUAACCCAUGCUCUUUCAAUACUCAACUUCAUGCAUACUAAUCUGUACACUAAAUACUUCCACAGAUUUUUUCCAUAAGCAGUGAUACAAACAUUUGCAUUGUUGGAAGUUCUGGACUAGGGAUUAACAGAGUUUUCACCCAGUGUUUUCUUUAAUAAGCUGUAUAAGCUUAUGUGUUCCAUAUUUUCCUGGACCCUGGAAAUGAGAGCACCAGUUCUUGAUUUUCUGAGCAUGAGGGCUGCUGAAUGAUGUCGAACAAUUUUAUGAUCCUUUGCACCACACAUCAACCCUGAUGUCAUGUUUUAUAAUGGCUGACAGCAAAAAUACAACAUGAUGAAAAGCUACUAAGAAUUUGACAAUGUUUUGAAGUGAAUUUACACUCUACUAAUCACAACAGUAAAAGAAUAGUGCACAUAGAUAGAUAUAUGCAAGACAUUAUUCUGUAUCAGGUGAUGCUGAAUAGACACUUGGAACACUUGCAAUAAUUUGGAGGAACCACGGGUCCAUGGUGCACCAGCUGGUGGCUAGCAUAUGACCCUUUCAACUCUAACGUCCUGUAUACUCCAGGUUAAAGGCACUGUCUUCCUGUAACUAGCCAGAUGAAUCUAGCCUCACAGAGGUGGUAGAUGGUCCUGGCAAAGAGCUUUCCAUGUUGACAAUACAACAGUGGGUGUCAGCAGCUAAUGAAUGCAAGUCACACUCAGAGGGUAAGUUAAAAGAUUUCCACUACCCAGGAGCUCAACUAUAGCAAUGGAAGUAUCCUCUAGCUUGCCUUUGCUGAGUAACUGUGGGUUACAACCAAGAAAUCACACUUCCCAACCCUGUAAGAAUAUUGGUAACCAUUGAUUGACACCUAUUAUGUGUCAGGCACAAUGCUAGGAACUUAACCUAUUAUCCCUAAUCCUAACAAUCACACUCAGAGGCAUAGAUGUCUUUGUAUAUGGAUACAGAAACAGGCUCAGAGAUUAAAUAACUUGCCCAAGAUCACAUAGCUGGUAAGUGGCUGAGUAUGGAAUCUGUUUUGCUCCAAAGCUCUAGUUCUUUGUUUUCCACAGUGUUUAGUGUUCUUUUGGUUUCUUUGAAAUACUAUUCAUUUUAUCUUGAUAAAAGUUAUACUCUUUAAUCCCUGAGUAGAUAGAUUUCUGCCAUUUUGUUCCUGGGAACUAUUUUCUUUCCCAUUUAAGAUGAAUGAAAUAAAGCCCCUGACUUGGCACUUAGGCUAUGGAAUAAGAAUAUAUUGGGAGGACUAAAAUAUGCAUUUUUUUCUAUUCUAUUUUCUAUAAGGGCAUAUAACAAUUCCUCCAUAAUCAUUUGUUAUGGUUUAUAAUUUCAUGAAGUGAUAUACAUAGUCACACUAAGACCUAAAUUAAGAUAUAAAAGGCACAUAAAGAUACAGAGCAACUGUGUAAUCUGUGAUGCACAAGGUGCCAUAAUGAGCCUCAAGAACAUUUAAAUUUUUAUAGUCUGCAAAAUGUUCAGCUACUAAUGAAUAAAUACACCCUAAUUAUAGUGGAAUGCACCUAGAUUUAGAUACUGAAUGUUCUGCAGUGGUUAACUCUUUGCAAGAUUUUCUUCUUUGUACAAGGGAUGCCACUGACUUUGUACUUUACCAAGAGUGCCAAUAAUGGACUACGUCCCCUAAAUUCUCCCAACCAGACACAGCUACAUGGUCAGCUUGCACAUUUACCUCUGGUUUUCUGACUCCUAGGCCACACUCCUGGGUGGCAAAUGGCAAACUCUUCAUCUGGCAUAUCAUCACAAAAAGCAUUUUUAGAGUAGUUUUGGUCCCAACAUACAAAGGGGAAAUAUAUUUAUUGUAGCACCAGUAUUCUGUUAAUGGAAAACAGUUUUCAGUAUUUAUAGGAAUUCAAAAGAAGUAAUGACUUUUUUAUGUAUCUCAGCAGUUCUUUCCUUGCCUCCCAUUUACAUUCUUUUAAAAUGAAAUUUUCAUUAUUCCCAUUUCAAUUUCUAAUGUUGCUUUCUAUGUUUAUGAAGUAAUAUCCCAGGUGACUUUAUAAUAAAUUUCCCUUCAGUCCUAUGAUUGCUCGCAGUGUAGAAAACUGAAAUAGAGUCUAAGUUAUGAAUACAGGUCUAUUUUAUAAUAAUUCAUUUUUAUCUUGAAACAAAGAUCUGAAAUUCAAUUUCUUUUCUGUCUCUAUAUAUUUUCUUUCCAUAGUCAGGAAAGCUUUCUUUAUCUUUGUUCAAUUUAAUUCUGCAUUAUAUUUGAUAAGACUUUAUGGUAUUAAGACUUGAUUUCAUAUGCAUAGCUACUUUUCUUGUAGCUCUACAAGAUAAAGGUUUUUAAAAAUAUUUACCUAAAAUAUUCACCCAAUGUCCUUCCAUGAUUGUUAUUCAUUUUGUGAUUCUUUGAUGUAAUCCACAAAAAAUCUGCAUUGUGCAUUCAUGAAGGAUUAUUUGUCUGAGCAAAUAUUAACUUUGCAUAUACAUGUGUCCUUUUGGUCUCUUAAUGAAAUUUGCUUUUACUAACUUGCAGACCACAGUUACAUAAAAGUGUCUGAAAGACUCCAGGUGGACAAAAUAAUUUCUAUAAAUGUAAAAUUUAUCAUGCCUGAAGGGUUUGGAAGAAUUUGGCAAAUUUAUAGCAAUUUCCAAAUUACAGGAAGAAUAAUGUGACAGCUGCUUGACAGCAUUCAGCAACAGUGUACAGCAAUGUAGGCAAGUGGGUAUCAUAGGAUCUUGGUGAAAUUCAAUGUGAAUUACUUAUGUAAGAACUAAGACAUAGGAUUUUAAAAUUCUGUGAAACAUCAAAUGGUCAUUUUAGUGCUGUUAGGUAGUAGGCCUUUUAGAUUAUUCAAAAUAUUUUUUAUACAUGCCAGUUUAUGAUAAAUAAUAUCUUGAAGAAUACAAAUGAAGAGGUAUGGGGAAGGGGAUUCCAUGCCCUCUCUGGGUGCACCACCCUCCAGCACCUCCCUCAUCUUUAGCUAUCUGGAAGCUCUGGAAACACUGUCCUUUUGGGUUUUUAUGGAGGCUUCAAUACACAGGCAUGACUGAUUAAACCACUGGUGACCAAUUUACUUUCAGCCCUCCUUCACUCCCCAGAGAUUGGGGGAUGGAGACAAAAGUCCCAACCCUCCAGUCAUGCCUUGGUCUUUCUGGUGACUAGGCCCCAUCCUGAAGCUCCCUAGGGGUUGCCAGCUGUCAGUCAACUCAUUAGCAUAUAAAAAGACGUCAUUUAUGCCAGGAAAAGGGGACAAAGACCAAUAUAUAUUUCACAAUAUCACAGUCAACUCCCAGUCUUCUAACGGGAUCUGUUACAUCCAAAGAAUAUAUGACUUAAAAGAUACCGGGACAUUACUAGAAUUCAUUUAGUCAUUAAUACUGUAAUUUGUCCAGUCCAUCAUAUUGUAUGAAUAUGUCUCCUAAAGUGAGGCCACUCAGGUUUGCAGGCUUCCAAAGCAGGAGUGGUCUCAGAAAACAUACAGGUUCACUCUUUCAGGCAUUUGGUAUAAUUAAGCUAAGAGACAGUGUCAUCUCUUGCUCUGAGCCUCUUUUAAGGUAAUAUAAUAUUGGAUUUCUCUCAUAUAAUUCAUUUGUUCAUUUCUUUACCCUCAGCUAUUUUUCCUUCUGUUCAUUCAUACUGAAACUUUUCUACCUUUGGAAGGGACACUAGGUUUGACUACCCUGCUUGUCUAGACUAUAGGCAACAAUCCUAGUCCACAAGUACCUCCCCCUCAGACCACUCCCAUUCAGAUAGGGUAAGGUUACACUGGGGCAGAACUAGUAGGCUAUUUUUACUAUCAAGCAAUAUAGUUGCAUUCAUUGUUAACUCCAAUUCUGGCAGAAGGCCCUCAGGAAUUCUGACAUAAGGUUUAAGAACUGUAGUUACAAAGUAAUUUGGGUCUACAUUUGCAACUACUUUUAAGACCUUGUUAUUUUGGCACAAAUGGUAAUGAAUCUGACCUUAAAUACACGCCAAAGACAAAAUGUAACUUGGACUAUAAAAGGUCCAACAUAUUUGACAAUGAUGGUGUAGAAAAGAGAUGAUCAUUUCUGGUUAUUUGAUCUGGGAACUGAAUCAGGAAACAUUACUAAGUCUCUAUUAUGCAGAUGAAUUUGUAUGUUCUAGGAACACUGCAUUCUAUGGUUAUUGACUGACAUAUACACAAAAACCCCUACUAUUUUAAAAUGGAAAAGACAUACUUCCAAUUUACUUUGGAGUUUUUGCAAAGUACCAUUUCUGUUAAUCUUAUAAUCACAGAAUUUAGCCAUGUAAAACAGGAUAUUCAUUCAUGUAUAUGUAUGUACGUAUCAACCAGCUGGCACACCAUUCAUUUAUUGAGAUCUUACUCAUAACAAGUCCUCUGUUAUAUACUGCAGAUAUAGAUAAACUAAUUCCUUCCCUCAAAGAGUUCAAUUCUAUAAGAAGAGAUAGUUAUGCAAACCCAUAAAUUGCAAUAUUGAAAAUUUCAAGUUUGAAGGUAAUGCUGAGAGGUAGGCUCUCACAGGUGUGAUAUGAAAAAUGAAGCCGUAACAUUUUGUACUUCUCUACCCUUUUGUAUCUAGGCUAACCUAGCAGAAUGUGGUAGAAGUGAUGGUAUGAAGUUCUGGAGUGUAGGCCACAAGAGACCUUGCAGCUUCCAACUUUUGUCUUUCUGGAACAUUCCUGAUACCAUGUAAAGAAGCCCAGGAAGCCGAGGCAGGAGGAUCGAGCGCAGGAGUUCAAGACCAGCCUGGGCAACACAGUGGGAUCCUGUCUCUAAUUUUAAAAAAAUGUAAACCACAAUGAGAUAUCACUGCACAUACCCACCAGAAUGACUAAAACUCAAGACUGACGGUAACAAGUGUUGACAAAGACAUGAAGAAAUAGCAGCUGUCAUACAUUGUUGGUGAGAACACAAAGUGGAACAACCACUUUGGAAAACAGUUUUGUAGUUUCUUAUAAAGCUAAAUGUAAUUUUUUUCCAUAGAACCCAGCCACUCACCUUCUAGAUAUUUUCUCAAGAAAAAUAACACACUGACACAAAGACUUACAUAUGACUAUUCAGAGCAGCUUUCUUCAUAAUGGCCCUAAACUGGAAAUAACCCACCUGUUUAUCAACUGGAGAUUGGAAAACAAUCUGUAAUAUAUUCAUACAAUGAAAUACUCAGAAAUAAAAAAGCAUAAACUAACAUACGCAAUAAUAUGGACAGAUCUGAAAAGCAUUAUAAGUUACAAAAAAGAAAGCUAGAACAAAACAUACUGCAUAUGUUUUGUUCUAAUGAAAUGAUCUAAAUGUCGAUCAUUUAGACAUUAGAGAUCAUAGCUCGAUGUAAAUGCAAUUUUAGAAACAUCUAAGCUACAGUGACAGAUGAGUGGUUCCCUAGGGCCAGAGAUAGGAAAAGGAUACUGACUGCAAAACAGUGUGAGGGAACUUUUGGGGAUGAUGGAAGUGUGGUAAUGAUUACAUGACAUGACUAUAUGUAUUUGGCAAGACUCAUCAAACUGUACCUUAAAAUUGGUGCAUUUUAUUGUAUUUAUAGUGCAAUAAAGGUGAUUAAAAAAAUAGGCACCUUAAGAUUCUUACAAAUAUAUAAUAUGCAAGUCUUGUGUGAAUCUGUUAUUUUUCCUGAGUAAAUAUCUAUUUGUAACUAUAUAAAAUUAUAAAGUUACUGGUGUUACUAAUAAAGAACUUGGGAUGGCA